CUGUAAUAAGGCCCAAUUGGCCCAGACUAUUUACAAAACAAAAAAUGGGCCGUCCAGGCCCAAUAGUCCAAAACCUAGCCCACCUAACAUCCUAAACUUCCCAAACCCUAGCCCCAUGUUCAGUUCAGCGCCGCGAGCCCCCACAACGUGCUCCGCCUCCGACAACUCCAAUCGGCGCAUGCUUCGGAGCCAACUCCCCCGCGCAUCACGCCCCUCGCCGCCGUGAAUCUCGCGCACGCACGUACCUGCAACAAGCGAAGGAGAGGAGCAAAAAUCGGGCCAACCGAAUAGAUUUUUUUGGAUUUAUUUUUCUUUCCCAUUUGCGGCUAUAAAAGGCCAAUAUUUCCAGUGUAAAGGGGGGAACAAAGAUUGUAUCAAAAUUAUUAAAAAAACAGAGGAAAAAAUCAAUAAGAGCAAAUCGAUUAUUCGUUUUUUUAAAGAGGGAUGAUCAUUCUUUUAUUUUUUUUUCAUAUAUACAUAUAUCUUAUUUUUUUUCUAUAUAGUUUCUUUUUAUUUUUAUUUAUUUUUGUUUAAAAUAUAAAGAAAAGGGACGAACAUACCUUUUUUUCGACGGAAUCGCUGAGUUGGCGCCCCUCUCCGUCGCGAUCAGAGACCGGGGCGUCGACGGAGGCCGUGGUAUGCCUCGAUUGGCGGCGGCGGUAUAAAAGAGGAACCCUAGCAGAGCUUCUCUGUUAUUUUUUUU
Molecule: long non-coding RNA, 703 nt
Filed under: Gossypium raimondii (Peruvian cotton)
Lineage: Eukaryota; Viridiplantae; Streptophyta; Magnoliopsida; Malvales; Malvaceae
Description: long non-coding RNA (GRAI_LNC010814)
Source: RNAcentral